This 487-nucleotide ribosomal RNA is filed under the name uncultured eukaryote. RNAcentral describes it as "bacterial SSU rRNA". It matches the Rfam family "Eukaryotic small subunit ribosomal RNA", at positions 672 to 1161 of the family's 1831-position model. The record is from RNAcentral.
GUGAGUACCGGCGCGGGCCUGCCAUCCUUCCGGGGGCGCGCGCCUACCCUUCGCUGGGCCGGGCGCGCCACCCGGAUCGUUUACUUUGAAAAAAUUAGAGUGUUUAAAAGCAGGCGUCGCCGCUCUGAAUACAUUAGCAUGGAAUAAUAGGAUAGGACUUGGGUCCAUUUUAUUGGUUAUUGGACCAUAGUAAUGAUUAAUAGGGACAGUUGGGGGCAUUAGUAUUUAAUUGUCAGAGGUGAAAUUCUUGGAUUUAUUAAAGACUAACUUAUGCGAAAGCAUUUGCCAAGGAUGUUUUCAUUAAUCAAGAACGAAAGUUAGGGGAUCAAAGACGAUCAGAUACCGUCCUAGUCUUAACUAUAAACUAUACCGACUAGGGAUUGGUUGGGUCAUUAGAGCCCAAUCAGCACCUUAUGAGAAAUCAAAGUCUUUGGGUUCUUGGGGGGGAGUAUGGUCGCAAGGCUGAAACUUAAAGGAAUUGACGGAA